GAUGAACGCUGGCGGCGUGCUUAACACCCCCAAGUCGAACGAUGAAGCCCAGCUUGCUGGGUGGAUUAGUGGCGAACGGGUGAGUAACACGUGAGUAACCUGCCCUUAACUCUGGGAUAAGCCUGGGAAACUGGGUCUAAUACCGGAUAGGAGCGUCCACCGCAUGGUGGGUGUUGGAAAGAUUUAUCGGUUUUGGAUGGACUCGCGGCCUAUCAGCUUGUUGGUGAGGUAAUGGCUCACCAAGGCGACGACGGGUAGCCGGCCUGAGAGGGUGACCGGCCACACUGGGACUGAGACACGGCCCAGACUCCUACGGGAGGCAGCAGUGGGGAAUAUUGCACAAUGGGCGCAAGCCUGAUGCAGCGACGCCGCGUGAGGGAUGACGGCCUUCGGGUUGUAAACCUCUUUCAGUAGGGAAGAAGCGAAAGUGACGGUACCUGCAGAAGAAGCACCGGCUAACUACGUG
This 466-nucleotide ribosomal RNA is filed under the name uncultured bacterium. RNAcentral's name for it is "partial 16S ribosomal RNA". It matches the Rfam family "Bacterial small subunit ribosomal RNA", at positions 28 to 507 of the family's 1533-position model. The record is from RNAcentral.